Pongo pygmaeus (Bornean orangutan) is the source of this 171-nucleotide long non-coding RNA. RefSeq lists it as uncharacterized. The transcript is spliced from 3 exons. The record is from RefSeq and is a predicted model, not a curated record. Lineage: Eukaryota; Metazoa; Chordata; Mammalia; Primates; Hominidae.
CCGCCUCCUAGCCGUAUUUCAAGGCGCAAGCCCCGCCUCCCAGGUAGCCUAUUUCAAGGUGCAAACCCCGCCUCCCGGGCGGCCUAUUUCAAGGCGCAAGCCCCGCCUCCCGGGCGGCCUAUUUCAAGGUGCAAGCCCCGCCUCCCGGGCGGCCUAUUUCAAGGCUCAAGC